AGCUCUGUGGUGUAUUACAUGUUGGAUUGCAAAUUCAAAGAUGCAGAUUAGUUGUCUGCCGGGGCUU
RNAcentral lists this transfer RNA (67 nucleotides) under Ariopsis seemanni (Tete sea catfish). RNAcentral's name for it is "tRNA-Cys". It matches the Rfam family "tRNA". Rfam says of the family: Transfer RNA (tRNA) molecules are approximately 80 nucleotides in length. The record is from RNAcentral. Lineage: Eukaryota; Metazoa; Chordata; Actinopteri; Siluriformes; Ariidae.